This 253-nucleotide ribosomal RNA is filed under the name uncultured bacterium. Its description in RNAcentral is "partial 16S ribosomal RNA". It matches the Rfam family "Bacterial small subunit ribosomal RNA", at positions 524 to 776 of the family's 1533-position model. The record is from RNAcentral.
UACGUAGGGUGCGAGCGUUGUCCGGAAUUAUUGGGCGUAAAGAGCUCGUAGGCGGUCUGUCGCGUCUGCUGUGAAAUCCCGAGGCUCAACCUCGGGCUUGCAGUGGGUACGGGCAGGCUAGAGUGCGGUAGGGGAGAAUGGAACUCCUGGUGUAGCGGCGGAAUGCGCAGAUAUCAGGAAGAACACCGAUGGCGAAGGCAGUUCUCUGGGCCGUAACUGACGCUGAGGAGCGAAAGCGUGGGGAGCGAACAGG